GGACUCCUGUCGAGUAUAGUGGGGACGGGUGAGUAACACGUGGGUAACCUCCCAUCAGAGGGGAUAACACUUGGAAACAGGUGCUAAACCGAUAUUGAUGGAUGGAGCCGCGAUGCAUUAGCUAGUGGGUGAGGUUAAUGCUCACCAAGGCAACGAUGCAGAGCCGGCCUUAGAGGUUGAUCGGCCACAUGGGGCUUGAGAAACUGCCCAGACUCCUACGGUAGGCAUCCGUAGGGACUCUUCGGCAAUGGUCGCAAGUCUGACCGAGCAACGCCGCGUGAGUGAAGAAGGUUUUCGGAUGGUAAACCUCUUGUGUUAGAGAAGCGGUAGCUAACCAGAAAGCCACGGCUACCUACGUGCCAGCCGCCGCGGUAAUAC
Molecule: ribosomal RNA, 378 nt
Filed under: uncultured bacterium
Lineage: Bacteria
Description: partial 16S ribosomal RNA
Rfam family: Bacterial small subunit ribosomal RNA
Source: RNAcentral